UACGGAGGGUGCAAGCGUUAAUCGGAAUUACUGGGCGUAAAGCGCGCGUAGGCGGUUUGUUAAGCGAGAUGUGAAAGCCCAGGGCUCAACCUUGGAAUUGCAUUUCGAACUGGCAAGCUAGAGUACAGAAGAGGGUGGUGGAAUUUCCAGUGUAGCGGUGAAAUGCGUAGAGAUUGGAAGGAACAUCAGUGGCGAAGGCGACCACCUGGACUGAUACUGACGCUGAGGUGCGAAAGCGUGGGGAGCAAACAGG
RNAcentral lists this ribosomal RNA (253 nucleotides) under uncultured bacterium. RNAcentral's name for it is "partial 16S ribosomal RNA". It matches the Rfam family "Bacterial small subunit ribosomal RNA", at positions 524 to 776 of the family's 1533-position model. The record is from RNAcentral.